RNAcentral lists this ribosomal RNA (486 nucleotides) under uncultured bacterium. RNAcentral describes it as "partial 16S ribosomal RNA". It matches the Rfam family "Bacterial small subunit ribosomal RNA", at positions 30 to 507 of the family's 1533-position model. The record is from RNAcentral.
AUUGAACGCUGGCGGCAUGCCUUACACAUGCAAGUCGAACGGCAGCACGGGUGCUUGCACCUGGUGGCGAGUGGCGAACGGGUGAGUAAUACAUCGGAACAUGUCCUGUAGUGGGGGAUAGCCCGGCGAAAGCCGGAUUAAUACCGCAUACGAUCUACGGAAGAAAGCGGGGGACCUUCGGGCCUCGCGCUAUAGGGUUGGCCGAUGGCUGAUUAGCUAGUUGGUGGGGUAAAGGCCUACCAAGGCGACGCUCAGUAGCUGGUCUGAGAGGACGACCAGCCACACUGGGACUGAGACACGGCCCAGACUCCUACGGGAGGCAGCAGUGGGGAAUUUUGGACAAUGGGCGAAAGCCUGAUCCAGCAAUGCCGCGUGUGUGAAGAAGGCCUUCGGGUUGUAAAGCACUUUUGUCCGGAAAGAAAUCCUUGGCCCUAAUACGGUCGGGGGAUGACGGUACCGGAAGAAUAAGCACCGGCUAACUACGUG